GAGGAAAGUCCGGGCUCCAUAGGGCAGGGCGCUCGUCGAGACUGGCGGCGGAAGUUCGCCAGUCAAGGCGAGGGAGUUGCUCCGGCGAGAUGCUGGGGCAACUUCGGAAAGUGCCACAGAAACCAUACCGCCGUCGGGCUAAGCGGCACUGUGGCUUCCGCUGCCAGCCGCUGCAGUGUUCGCGUUUCCCGGCGGUAAGGGUGAAAUGGUGGGGUAAGAGCCCACCAGCACGACCGCGAGGUCGUGGCUGGGCAAACCCCGCCCGGAGCAAGACCAAAUAGGGGGCGCUAUCAGGUUGCCCGCCGAUGCCCCCGGGUCGGUCGCUUAGAGAAAUGGUCGCCAGCGUCAGGGCUAAAACCUGACGCCACAGAACCCGGCUUA
This 381-nucleotide RNase P RNA is filed under the name unidentified eubacterium clone PF#101. RNAcentral's name for it is "partial ribonuclease P RNA". It matches the Rfam family "Bacterial RNase P class A", at positions 43 to 351 of the family's 367-position model. Rfam says of the family: Ribonuclease P (RNase P) is a ubiquitous endoribonuclease, found in archaea, bacteria and eukarya as well as chloroplasts and mitochondria. Its best characterised activity is the generation of mature 5'-ends of tRNAs by cleaving the 5'-leader elements of precursor-tRNAs. Cellular RNase Ps are ribonucleoproteins. The record is from RNAcentral.